This 254-nucleotide ribosomal RNA is filed under the name uncultured bacterium. RNAcentral's name for it is "partial 16S ribosomal RNA". It matches the Rfam family "Bacterial small subunit ribosomal RNA", at positions 524 to 776 of the family's 1533-position model. The record is from RNAcentral.
UACGUAGGUGGCAAGCGUUGUCCGGAAUUAUUGGGCGUAAAGCGCGCGCAGGCGGCCUCUUAAGUCUGAUGUGAAAGCCCCCCGGCUCAACCGGGGAGGGCCAUUGGAAACUGGUAGGCUUGAGUAUAGGAGAGAAGAGUGGAAUUCCACGUGUAGCGGUGAAAUGCGUAGAGAUGUGGAGGAACACCAGUGGCGAAGGCGACUCUUUGGCCUAUAACUGACGCUGAGGCGCGAAAGCGUGGGGAGCAAACAGG